UGGGGUGUAGCUCAAUUGGCAGAGCGCCUGGCUGUUAACCAGGAGGUUGGUGGUUCAAGUCCACCCGCCCCAG
Molecule: transfer RNA, 73 nt
Filed under: Gemmatimonadota bacterium
Lineage: Bacteria; Pseudomonadati; Gemmatimonadota
Also listed under: 1 other name
Description: tRNA-Asn
Rfam family: tRNA
About the family: Transfer RNA (tRNA) molecules are approximately 80 nucleotides in length. Their secondary structure includes four short double-helical elements and three loops (D, anti-codon, and T loops).
Source: RNAcentral